GUGCCAGCAGCCGCGGUAAGACGAACCGUCCUAACGUUGUUCGGAAUCACUGGGCUUAAAGGGCGCGUAGGCGGAGCGGAAAGUCAGGGGUGAAAUCCCAUAGCUCAACUAUGGAAGUGCCUUUGAUACUGCCGUUCUCGAGGGAGGCAGGGGAGCGCGGAACUUCCGGUGGAGCGGUGAAAUGCGUAGAUAUCGGAAGGAACACCGGUGGCGAAAGCGGCGCUCUGGUCCUCAUCUGACGCUGAGGCGCGAAAGCCAGGGGAGCAAACGGGAUUAGAAACCCCAGUAGUCC
RNAcentral lists this ribosomal RNA (292 nucleotides) under uncultured bacterium. RNAcentral describes it as "partial 16S ribosomal RNA". It matches the Rfam family "Bacterial small subunit ribosomal RNA", at positions 505 to 796 of the family's 1533-position model. The record is from RNAcentral.